This 266-nucleotide ribosomal RNA is filed under the name uncultured bacterium. RNAcentral's name for it is "partial 16S ribosomal RNA". It matches the Rfam family "Bacterial small subunit ribosomal RNA", at positions 524 to 792 of the family's 1533-position model. The record is from RNAcentral.
UACGGAGGGUGCGAGCGUUAAUCGGAAUACUGGCGUAAAGCGCACGCAGGCGGUUUGUAAGCAAGAUGUGAAAGCCCCGGGCUCAACCUGGGAACUGCAUUUUGAACUGGCAGACUAGAGUCUUGGAGAGGGGGGUGGAAUUCCAGGUGUAGCGGUGAAAUGCGUAGAGAUCUGGAGGAACAUCAGUGGCGAAGGCGGCCCCCUGGCCAAAGACUGACGCUCAUGUGCGAAAGUGUGGGUAGCGAACAGGAUUAGAUACCCCGUGU